UACGUAGGGUCCGAGCGUUAAUCGGAAUUACUGGGCGUAAAGCGCUUGUAGGCGGCACGUCAAGUCGCGUGUGAAAUCCCCAGGCUUAACCUGGGAAGUGCGCGCGAAACUGACGAGCUUGAGUGCCGGAGAGGGUCGCGGAAUUCCCGGUGUAGAGGUGAAAUUCGUAGAUAUCGGGAGGAACACCAGUGGCGAAGGCGGCGACCUGGACGGACACUGACGCUGAGACGCGAAAGCGUGGGGAGCAAACAGG
This 253-nucleotide ribosomal RNA is filed under the name uncultured bacterium. Its description in RNAcentral is "partial 16S ribosomal RNA". It matches the Rfam family "Bacterial small subunit ribosomal RNA", at positions 524 to 776 of the family's 1533-position model. The record is from RNAcentral.